UACAGAGGGUGCAAGCGUUGUUCGGAAUUAUUGGGCGUAAAGCGCGUGUAGGCGGCUUUGCAAGUCGGGUGUGAAAGCCCUCAGCUCAACUGAGGAAGUGCGCCCGAAACUGCAGAGCUUGAGUUCCGGAGAGGAUGGCGGAAUUCCCCAAGUAGAGGUGAAAUUCGUAGAUAUGGGGAGGAACACCGGUGGCGAAGGCGGCCAUCUGGACGGAAACUGACGCUGAGACGCGAAAGCGUGGGUAGCAAACAGG
This 253-nucleotide ribosomal RNA is filed under the name uncultured bacterium. Its description in RNAcentral is "partial 16S ribosomal RNA". It matches the Rfam family "Bacterial small subunit ribosomal RNA", at positions 524 to 776 of the family's 1533-position model. The record is from RNAcentral.